GGGGAUAGUUUAGCCUAAAACACGGAUCUUGGACAUCCGAAACUGAGAAUUCAUCCCUCAUCCCCUGA
RNAcentral lists this transfer RNA (68 nucleotides) under Paralvinella sulfincola. RNAcentral's name for it is "tRNA-Pro". Lineage: Eukaryota; Metazoa; Annelida; Polychaeta; Terebellida; Alvinellidae. The record is from RNAcentral.